RNAcentral lists this ribosomal RNA (468 nucleotides) under uncultured bacterium. RNAcentral describes it as "partial 16S ribosomal RNA". It matches the Rfam family "Bacterial small subunit ribosomal RNA", at positions 28 to 507 of the family's 1533-position model. The record is from RNAcentral.
GACGAACGCUGGCGGCGUGCUUAACACAUGCAGGUCGAGCGGAAAGGCCCUGCUUUUGUGGGGUGCUCGAGUGGCGAACGGGUGAGUAACACGUGAGUAACCUGCCCUUGACUUUGGGAUAACUUCAGGAAACUGGGGCUAAUACCGGAUAGGAGCUCCUGCUGCAUGGUGGGGGUUGGAAAGUUUCGGCGGUUGGGGAUGGACUCGCGGCUUAUCAGCUUGUUGGUGGGGUAGUGGCUUACCAAGGCUUUGACGGGUAGCCGGCCUGAGAGGGUGACCGGCUACAUUGGGACUGAGAUACGGCCCAGACUCCUACGGGAGGCAGCAGUGGGGAAUAUUGCACAAUGGGCGGAAGCCUGAUGCAGCAACGCCGCGUGCGGGAUGACGGCCUUCGGGUUGUAAACCGCUUUCGCCUGUGACGAAGCGUGAGUGACGGUAAUGGGUAAAGAAGCACCGGCUAACUACGUG